RNAcentral lists this long non-coding RNA (1295 nucleotides) under Equus caballus (horse). Its description in RNAcentral is "lncRNA (ENSECAG00000053462.1)". The record is from RNAcentral. Lineage: Eukaryota; Metazoa; Chordata; Mammalia; Perissodactyla; Equidae.
GGGUGAUGUAAACCUCAGUGGGAUGGAUCUGCCCAUGGAAAGGAGUAGGGCUGCCUCUUUCCCUGGGACCAAAAGGAAGAUGAUAACAAUUGGUAAAGGAGAUGAAGUUACACUGAGAACUUGCAAAGGAAUCUGAAAAGUCUUUUUAAAUAAUACUUGCUACUCAUAGUUGAUUUAUGAAGCUUGCUGCUGGCGCAUUUUCAGUGUCUAUUAGGCACUCAGAUAUACAUGGAGACCUAGGUUUAAGCAGCUCCAUUCCCCAGCACAAGCUCCAGCUUUGAGCUGAGGAUGAUCUCCUUUCUUAAAGCUCUGCAAGCAGGAGAUAUGGAAAAGGAGAGGCUGGGGUAGCUCAGAACAAAUUCCAGGACAGAAGAAAGGGCAGAAGCAGCGGCAACACGUGCUUUUUUUCAGGAGGCACCUUGGUUUAUCAGACUGUAGCAGCUGGUCCCUGGAGGGCUCUGAGAACCAGGGACUCACUGACCUUGAGGCUCCUCCUGGAAAAAAGAAAAACAUUGGGACCCUCCCAAGAAGAAAUCUCAGCAACGGACUAAAUUUGUUAAAUGGAACUUGAAAACAUUUCUGGUGUGGAUGGUAAAAUGAUUAUUGAAGGCCAUCAGAGAGCUUCCAUGACUCACUGUUUAAUGAUUUCCAGCAGGAUUACAAAGGAUUUAAAGUAAGCUUGAAGCUAUUGAGAGCAAAUAGUGUGCCAAGAAUAUGAGAGUGGUUUGUGUUUUGGACUCUAUGAAAACUGUAUUGUUAAUUUAGAAAAAAAUACAAACUGGAUUCCUAAGGCUCUGGAAGUCUGUUAUUUUCCUAAUGUUAUUUCUCUUGUCUCAGUGAGAUAUUUGACAUUUGAAAAAAGGCUAAGCAGAGAGUGGGAGCUGUCUAAAACUUUGUUGACCAGAUCAUCUCAGAAGAGUUUGGCAGAGCCAAGAAGUAAAAACUUGUAGAGACAUGGCUCCUCCCAUGAAGAGAUGGUGCCUGUUUUCCUGCCCCUUGUAUUGACUAGACUUGUGACUUGUUUGGCCAACAGCAUCCAAGGGAAGUACAUUCCGUCAGUUUUGAGCUUGGGCCUCAAGAGGCCUUGCACACUUCUGCUCUAACUCUUAAAACACUGUGGAGCUCCUUAAGGAAAAGUCUAGGCCAGCCUCCUGGAUGAUGAUGGCCCCAGAGCUUCUGCUGACAGCCAGUCAACCCCAGACAUAAAGGCAUCUAGCUAAGACACAGCAUGAAUGAGCUCAGCCAAGAACAGAAAGACAACUCAGCUGAACCAAGCCCAAACUGCUGACCAGUCC